RNAcentral lists this long non-coding RNA (291 nucleotides) under Triticum aestivum (bread wheat). RNAcentral describes it as "long non-coding RNA (TAES_LNC009480)". Lineage: Eukaryota; Viridiplantae; Streptophyta; Magnoliopsida; Poales; Poaceae. The record is from RNAcentral.
AUCCGCGCGGCUGCUCGUCCGGGGCCCAGCCGAGGCUAGCGGGUGCGCCGAUGGGAGAGAGCCCGCGGCCGCCGGUGCUGAGCAGCGCCAUGGAUCCGAGGGGAGAGGGUGCAGCUUUGCUUUCUUGGAGGAGGAAGGGUGCCGGGUGGGCGAGAGGAGUAGGGCGUGGGGGAUGCCAUGGACGGCGGCGUGCUCCGCCGGAGGGAGGUGGCGGCCGCGAUCUGGAAGGGAGGAGGUGGCGUGGUAGUCAGCGGCGGCUGCGUCGCUGCAGAAGCUGCAGAGGAGCACGGU